UCCUAGCCCCGAUUGCAGAGGAAAUCCUUGUUAUUGUGAGGUUGUUUCGCAAACUCGCAAUGACAAGAUUGUAACGGAAAGCGGGAAAAUGG
RNAcentral lists this small RNA (92 nucleotides) under Flavobacterium saliperosum. Its description in RNAcentral is "Flavo-1 RNA". It matches the Rfam family "Flavo-1 RNA". The record is from RNAcentral. Lineage: Bacteria; Pseudomonadati; Bacteroidota; Flavobacteriia; Flavobacteriales; Flavobacteriaceae.